Molecule: ribosomal RNA, 589 nt
Filed under: Staphylococcus aureus
Lineage: Bacteria; Bacillati; Bacillota; Bacilli; Caryophanales; Staphylococcaceae
Description: partial 23S ribosomal RNA
Rfam family: Bacterial large subunit ribosomal RNA
Source: RNAcentral
CACUGCCGAGAAAAGCCUCUAGAUAGAAAAUAGGUGCCCGUACCGCAAACCGACACAGGUAGUCAAGAUGAGAAUUCUAAGGUGAGCGAGCGAACUCUCGUUAAGGAACUCGGCAAAAUGACCCCGUAACUUCGGGAGAAGGGGUGCUCUUUAGGGUUAACGCCCAGAAGAGCCGCAGUGAAUAGGCCCAAGCGACUGUUUAUCAAAAACACAGGUCUCUGCUAAACCGUAAGGUGAUGUAUAGGGGCUGACGCCUGCCCGGUGCUGGAAGGUUAAGAGGAGUGGUUAGCUUCUGCGAAGCUACGAAUCGAAGCCCCAGUAAACGGCGGCCGUAACUAUAACGGUCCUAAGGUAGCGAAAUUCCUUGUCGGGUAAGUUCCGACCCGCACGAAAGGCGUAACGAUUUGGGCACUGUCUCAACGAGAGACUCGGUGAAAUCAUAGUACCUGUGAAGAUGCAGGUUACCCGCGACAGGACGGAAAGACCCCGUGGAGCUUUACUGUAGCCUGAUAUUGAAAUUCGGCACAGCUUGUACAGGAUAGGUAGGAGCCUUUGAAACGUGAGCGCUAGCUUACGUGGAGGCGCUGGU